AACCCAUGAUUUGGCCAUUUUCUCAACAUUUUCUUAAAUCUCCCCCAUGUCUCACAGAAAGCUUUCAUCUGCUCCUUGUCUAAACAUAGAGAUUUCAGACUUUGCUU
RNAcentral lists this small nucleolar RNA (107 nucleotides) under Phaseolus vulgaris (common bean). RNAcentral's name for it is "Plant small nucleolar RNA R71". It matches the Rfam family "Plant small nucleolar RNA R71". From Rfam's summary of the family: R71 is a member of the C/D box family of snoRNAs containing the C (UGAUGA) and D (CUGA) box motifs. The record is from Rfam by way of RNAcentral. Lineage: Eukaryota; Viridiplantae; Streptophyta; Magnoliopsida; Fabales; Fabaceae.